Molecule: ribosomal RNA, 253 nt
Filed under: uncultured bacterium
Lineage: Bacteria
Description: partial 16S ribosomal RNA
Rfam family: Bacterial small subunit ribosomal RNA
Source: RNAcentral
UACGGAGGGCGCAAGCGUUGUUCGGAAUCACUGGGCGUAAAGCGCGUGUAGGCGGCCUGGCAAGUCGGGUGUGAAAUCCCGGGGCCCAACCCCGGAACUGCAUUCGAAACUGCUUGGCUGGAGUCCCGGAGAGGAAGGCGGAAUUCCCGGUGUAGAGGUGAAAUUCGUAGAUAUCGGGAGGAACACCAGUGGCGAAGGCGGCCUUCUGGACGGUGACUGACGCUGAGACGCGAAAGCGUGGGGAGCAAACAGG